This 504-nucleotide ribosomal RNA is filed under the name uncultured bacterium. Its description in RNAcentral is "bacterial SSU rRNA". It matches the Rfam family "Bacterial small subunit ribosomal RNA", at positions 28 to 521 of the family's 1533-position model. The record is from RNAcentral.
GAUGAACGCUAGCGAUAGGCCUAACACAUGCAAGUCGAGGGGCAUCACAUGAAGUAGCAAUACGGAUGGUGGCGACCGGCGCACGGGUGAGUAACACGUAUGCAACCUGCCUUCAACAAGGGGAUAACCCGUUGAAAGACGGACUAAUACCCUAUAAUACAGGGGUCCCGCAUGGGGAUAUUUGUUAAAGAUUGAUCGGUUGAAGAUGGGCAUGCGUUCCAUUAGCUGGUUGGUGAGGUAACGGCUCACCAAGGCAACGAUGGAUAGGGGAACUGAGAGGUUUAUCCCCCACACUGGUACUGAGACACGGACCAGACUCCUACGGGAGGCAGCAGUGAGGAAUAUUGGUCAAUGGACGCAAGUCUGAACCAGCCACGUCGCGUGAAGGAAGACGGCCCUACGGGUUGUAAACUUCUUUUAUACGGGAAUAAAGUGCCCCACGCGUGGGGUUUUGCAUGUACCGUAUGAAUAAGGAUCGGCUAACUCCGUGCCAGCAGCCGCGGU